This 244-nucleotide long non-coding RNA is filed under the name Actinidia chinensis (golden kiwifruit). RNAcentral describes it as "long non-coding RNA (ACHI_LNC008284)". The record is from RNAcentral. Lineage: Eukaryota; Viridiplantae; Streptophyta; Magnoliopsida; Ericales; Actinidiaceae.
AUAUUAUGAGAAAUUAAUUUCUUAUUAAUUAGAUGUUAAAUUAGCAUAUAUUGUUAAUUAAAUAUUAAAUGAGCAUGUACUUAGCUUGAAUAUGAUUAUUGUGGGUGAUGUGAGUGAAAGCCCCAAUUUACAUGAAUUUAAAAAUUUGACUAUGAGGUUGUUGGUAGUUAAUUUUUAUAUAUGUAUAGAAAUGUUGUUUAUGAAAGAAAAUGGAUAAAGAAAAAUGUAUAUAUUCGGGCUUGUA